UUGUUUAAAGAAAAAAGUUACCUCUGUAAUCCUCGAUAUUGAAGGUGCUAGCAAAUUCACGGUUUUGAGCCUAAAAACAAGAUUACUAAUCAGAGUCUAGAAGAAUCAACUGUAAGAAUUAUUAAAGGAUCAAAAUAAUAGUAAAAAACCGGACUCUCUGGUAUCAUGCUUUAUAUUAAAUACUAGAUAAUUGAUUUUGAGAUGAAGAAAGACCUGAAUAUGUCGCAACAAUUGCUCCUGAUCUUGAAGAUCCUCGUAUGAACCUGUGGAUGUCAUCAACUUCGGAAGUAUAUCAUCCUGAAGCCAAUGAAUGUAAAUAUAAAUAAACAUUAGUGGCUUAAUACUUCACGGUUGCAAUUAGGGCCGUUCAAAUCGCUCGCCGCUCGCCGCUCGUCGCUCGCUCGACGCUCGUUCGGAAACUGCUCGGAAAAUGCUCGUUUGAUUUGACGCUCGGUUGUAAACGAGCCGCUCUGCUCGGUUCGGUUUGUAAACGAGCCAAGCAUGAGCAAAGGUUCGCUCGGCUCGGUUCGGCUCGAAUUAUUAUUUUAAUUAGUAUACAUAUACAUAUACCUAUACACAUACAUAUAUAAACAUGACAUACAUAUAUAAACAUGUAUAUACACACAAAUAUAAAUUAUACAUAAUACACACACCUAUAUAUAUACACACUUAAACAUACAUAUAUACUUAAAUAUAAAUUAAAUUUAUAGUUUUAUAUGUACCACUCUAUUAGAUUUUGGUCAACGAUAUACAAAUUUACAACUAUAUCUAUACGUACUAGCCCAAC
RNAcentral lists this long non-coding RNA (787 nucleotides) under Helianthus annuus (common sunflower). RNAcentral describes it as "hypothetical non coding rna". Lineage: Eukaryota; Viridiplantae; Streptophyta; Magnoliopsida; Asterales; Asteraceae. The record is from RNAcentral.